UACGAAGGGGGCUAGCGUUGUUCGGAAUCACUGGGCGUAAAGCGCACGUAGGCGGUUUUGUAAGUCAGGGGUGAAAUCCCGGGGCUCAACCUCGGAACUGCCUUUGAUACUGCGAAUCUCGAGUCCGAUAGAGGUGGGUGGAAUUCCUAGUGUAGAGGUGAAAUUCGUAGAUAUUAGGAAGAACACCGGUGGCGAAGGCGGCCCACUGGAUCGGUACUGACGCUGAGGUGCGAAAGCGUGGGGAGCAAACAGG
This 253-nucleotide ribosomal RNA is filed under the name uncultured bacterium. RNAcentral describes it as "partial 16S ribosomal RNA". It matches the Rfam family "Bacterial small subunit ribosomal RNA", at positions 524 to 776 of the family's 1533-position model. The record is from RNAcentral.